GUGAUAAUUAACAUCUACUGAACGCCCACUCUGUGCCAGGUACUGUGACUGUGUCUUUAUAUGCCUAAUUUAAUUCAGACAACAAUCCUAUGAAGUAAGUUCUAUUAUUAUCUGCAUUUUGCUAAUGAGGAAACUGAGGCUCAAAUAGGAUGAUUGACUUGCCUGGAGUCACUGAACAAUCAGUAGCAGAGCCAGAAGGUGAAUCCUCAGGAUUUUCAUUCCCUGAUCUCCGUGUUACUUGAAUGAGGUGAAUGGUGUUGCCGAACGUUAAACUUGGAAGAAGAUUGCUGCCACCAUUCCUGGGGACUUGACUUUGACUCCGGAAAAAUUUUCAAUUUGGAUUUUAAAACAACAGGGCUGCAGGCAUUCUACUGUCUUAUAAAAAAGCAGGUACGACUGAGUGGAGUAACACUCAGGCUGGGUGGAGUGGGACUAAGCCGAAGCAUCCUCUAGGAGUGAGGUUAAAUGGGAACUCGCAGUUGGGCUCUGCUAAUGUUAAGUCGAUGAAAGCCUAACAUGAGAGAAGACCUCUCCAUAACUUUCUGGGGUUUGCUCAUAAGCAGUUUAGUAUCAAGAUCAAGAAGGCUUUUUCAGUGAAAAGGCUUAGAAAUGCUCCAAUGCACAUCCAAUGAAAUGAAAACUCAAUAUUGAAAAGAACUAAAGAAUCAUAAGUCUGGGAGAGACCUUAGAAAUCCAACCUGAGUCAUCAUUGAAUCCCGAAAAGGUCAGUUUCCCUCAGGAGCAUGCACAUAAUAUCCUGGUUCUUUUGACAUCUUCCACUGGAAGCCAGAAAGGAAAGUCUUCAUCAUUUAUUCAUGCGACAAACCUUUAUUGAGUACUUGCUCUGUGUGAGGUGCUGAACUGGAUACCUGGGUACAAAGAUGAAUGAGAUGUGUCUCACUUUCAUUGAUUCACGGACAGUCCAAAGAACACACUGUUGCAACCAUCUCUUCCUGUACUGCUUCAGUAUGCCCACUGAAACUUUCAAAACAGAAAUCAGAAAUCUGAAACUAUUUCUCAUUGGGAAAAGAUUGUGUUUUUGGACCAGAAUUUCUAGUGGCUGCUUACUUAAAGAACUGUAUCAUUUUAGCAGAAGAGAAAACUUAUUUUCAAAACAGUGGAAUGAAUGAAUGAAGAUAUAAUGACUCUGGGUUAUUUCAAGAGAAACAUUUUUAGUUAAUUGGCCAAGUGUGGCAGCAUUGAGUCUUAAUCUGCAUGUUGGCAUUUUCUGGUUGGAAAAUAUAAUUCAGCUUGCCUGACUUUUAGAUCCUGAGACAAAUUCUACCUAGCAUGAGACAGCUUGUAGGACCAGAGGUAGUUAAUGGACAGGAAUCCAUUCUACAUGCCAGACGGGUUUAGAAGCUAAAGGGAAGACCAACCAACAAACAAGCAGGUUCUCAUUUCCAAAACUGAAAAAUAAAAGACAUUCUAUUUUGUCACUACAGUCUUUCAGAUGAGAGGAAUUUAGAAUUUCAUCAGCUUUCUACACAAACACGUUGAAAACCCUCCAUUGACUUGUGCCAUCAGCUAUUGGACUUAAGAACAUGGCCUUAAAACUUAAAAAGUACUCAGUCCUCUAAUACUUUUCUAUUUGUUUAUACUAUAAAGUCCAUAAUUGUUUUCUGCUUCUAGUGACCCCAACUGUGUGUCUUGGACCACUUAAGAAGGAAAAGUCUGAGAUCCCUUUCUUAAAAAAAUGGAAAGUCAGCAUUCCUGCGUGGACAGAAAGGAAUGGGCCAACCAACUCCCUCCUCUUAUUUGCACAAUUCAUUCAACAACAACAACAGAAAAAAAAAAGGAACACUUUUUUCCGUAAGUAACCUCGGAUGAGACUGUAGAUGCCUAAACUGUUUACAACAAAAUGUGAAAUGGUCUUUAAGCCAGUGCAAACGUGCAUUGCCUGGAUCAUGUCAAAUCAUAUUCUUUCCCCCCAGGGAGCAGAGGCCUAAUUUGGCCUGAAGUUUGGCUUGGCAGGCAGAGGGGACGUGUUGCUCCAGCUGUGUCUGAUAAGCAGAUGACAAGAUAAAACGUUCUCUUCAUUUGAGUCUUUCACUAACUAGCACAGUGUAGAAAAUCAAAGGCCUCACUGAUACAGGGCCCUGUAUCUGUUCAAACUUGCUUGGAGGCAAUAGAAAUAUUCUUCAUUUUCAGCAAGUCUGUGACGUAAACUUCUAAUUCUUCUUGCUUAUAAUCUAUGAUGAGUUAUAAACAUGUUGAAUAAUAAAGUAUCCC
RNAcentral lists this long non-coding RNA (2232 nucleotides) under Equus asinus (donkey). RNAcentral's name for it is "lncRNA (ENSEASG00005033813.1)". The record is from RNAcentral. Lineage: Eukaryota; Metazoa; Chordata; Mammalia; Perissodactyla; Equidae.